GCAUGAGAGAAGAUGGGCGGCAGCAGGUUUGUAUUGUUGGACUUCAAGAAUUUGAAGUGUCUGAUGUACAAAUUGUCAAAGAAUAUAUCGAGAAGGGAAAUGCAGCUAGGAGUACAGGGUCCACUGGUGCCAAUGAGGAGUCUUCAAGGUCACAUGCUAUAUUGCAACUUGCUGUUAAGAAACAUCCUGAAGUAAAGGAAUCCAGAAGGAACAAUGACGGAAAUGAGUUGAAAAGUGGGAAGCUUGUUGGGAAAAUCUCUUUUAUUGAUUUGGCUGGCAGCGAAAGAGGUGCUGAUACAACUGAUAAUGACCGUCAGACAAGGAUUGAGGGAGCGGAAAUCAACAAAAGUCUUUUGGCUUUGAAGGAAUGCAUCCGUGCCUUGGACAACGAUCAGAUUCAUAUACCCUUCCGUGGAAGCAAACUCACAGAAGUGCUCCGUGAUUCCU
RNAcentral lists this unclassified non-coding RNA (447 nucleotides) under Hevea brasiliensis (rubber tree). The record is from RNAcentral. Lineage: Eukaryota; Viridiplantae; Streptophyta; Magnoliopsida; Malpighiales; Euphorbiaceae.